UUAAGUUCAGCGGGUGGUCCUACUCGAUUUGAGGUCAAGUUGUCAGUCGUUGUCGGAAAGACGGUUGGGAGCACAGAGCUCCUGAUCAGCCACCCUCUUGCGAGGUGCCGGCGAAGACACUUAUCACGCCGUACUAUGUCCAACCAGGAGUUGCACUAACGCAUUUGAGGUGAGCCACCAUAAGGCAGCAGGCACCCAAG
RNAcentral lists this unclassified non-coding RNA (200 nucleotides) under Sebacina sp. Its description in RNAcentral is "partial internal transcribed spacer 2". The record is from RNAcentral. Lineage: Eukaryota; Fungi; Basidiomycota; Agaricomycetes; Sebacinales; Sebacinaceae.